This 253-nucleotide ribosomal RNA is filed under the name uncultured bacterium. RNAcentral describes it as "partial 16S ribosomal RNA". It matches the Rfam family "Bacterial small subunit ribosomal RNA", at positions 524 to 776 of the family's 1533-position model. The record is from RNAcentral.
UACGUAGGGGGCAAGCGUUGUCCGGAAUCAUUGGGCGUAAAGAGCGUGUAGGCGGCCAGGUAGGUCUGGUGUGAAAACUCGAGGCUUAACCUCGAGAUGUCAUCGGAAACCAUCUGGCUAGAGUCCGGAAGAGGAAAGUAGAAUUCCUGGUGUAGCGGUGAAAUGCGCAGAUAUCAGGAAGAACACCCGUGGCGAAGGCGGCUCUCUGGGACGGUACUGACGCUGAGACGCGAAAGCGUGGGGAGCGAACAGG